AAUAUUUGACAAUGGGCGCAAGCCUGAUCCAGCCAUGCCGCGUGAGUGAAGAAGGCACUAGGUUUGUAAAGCUCGUUCACUAGAGAAGAUGAUGACGGUAGCGGGCGACGAAGCCACGGCCAACUCCGUUCCAGCAGCCGCGGUACUACGGAGGGGGCUAGCGUUGUUCGGAUUUACUGGACGUAAAGGGCGCGUAGGCGGAUGUUCGCGUCAGAGGUGAAAGCCCCGGGCUCAACCUGGGAACUGCCAUUGAAACGGGACAUCUUGAGUUCGGGAGAGGGUAGCGGAAUUCCCAGUGUAGAGGUGAAAUUCGUAGAUAUUGGGAAGAACACCGGUGGCGAAGGCGGCUACCUGGCCCGAUACUGACGCUGAGGCGCGAAAGCGUGGGGAGCAAACA
RNAcentral lists this ribosomal RNA (397 nucleotides) under uncultured bacterium. RNAcentral's name for it is "partial 16S ribosomal RNA". It matches the Rfam family "Bacterial small subunit ribosomal RNA", at positions 360 to 774 of the family's 1533-position model. The record is from RNAcentral.